This 412-nucleotide ribosomal RNA is filed under the name uncultured microorganism. RNAcentral describes it as "bacterial SSU rRNA". It matches the Rfam family "Bacterial small subunit ribosomal RNA", at positions 9 to 417 of the family's 1533-position model. The record is from RNAcentral.
GAGUUUGAUCGUGGCUCAGAUUGAACGCUGGCGGCAUGCCUUACACAUGCAAGUCGAACGGCAGCAUGAUCUAGCUUGCUAGAUUGAUGGCGAGUGGCGAACGGGUGAGUAAUACAUCGGAACGUGCCCUGUAGUGGGGGAUAACUAGUCGAAAGAUUAGCUAAUACCGCAUACGACCUGAGGGUGAAAGUGGGGGACCGCAAGGCCUCAUGCUAUAGGAGCGGCCGAUGUCUGAUUAGCUAGUUGGUGGGGUAAAGGCCCACCAAGGCGACGAUCAGUAGCUGGUCUGAGAGGACGAUCAGCCACACUGGGACUGAGACACGGCCCAGACUCCUACGGGAGGCAGCAGUGGGGAAUUUUGGACAAUGGGCGAAAGCCUGAUCCAGCAAUGUCGCGUGUGUGAAGAAGGCCU